GUAGCUCAGCUGGAUAGAGUACCUGGCUACGAACCAGGCGGUCAGAGGUUCGAAUCCUCUCGGACGCGCCA
RNAcentral lists this transfer RNA (71 nucleotides) under Vibrio cholerae. RNAcentral's name for it is "tRNA-Arg". It matches the Rfam family "tRNA". Rfam says of the family: Transfer RNA (tRNA) molecules are approximately 80 nucleotides in length. Their secondary structure includes four short double-helical elements and three loops (D, anti-codon, and T loops). Lineage: Bacteria; Pseudomonadati; Pseudomonadota; Gammaproteobacteria; Vibrionales; Vibrionaceae. The record is from RNAcentral.